RNAcentral lists this ribosomal RNA (467 nucleotides) under uncultured bacterium. RNAcentral describes it as "bacterial SSU rRNA". It matches the Rfam family "Bacterial small subunit ribosomal RNA", at positions 32 to 507 of the family's 1533-position model. The record is from RNAcentral.
AAUCAACGCUGGCGGCGUGCCUCAGACAUGCAAGUCGAACGAUUAAAGCUCUCUUCGGAGAGUGCAUAAAGUGGCGCACGGGUGAGUAACACGUAAGUAAUCUACCUUUGAGUGGGGAAUAACAGUCGGAAACGGCUGUUAAUACCGCAUAAUGCAGCGGCACCGCAAGGUGACAGUUGUUAAAGGAGCAAUCCGCUUAAAGAGGAGCUUGCGGCAGAUUAGCUAGUUGGUAAGGUAAUGGCUUACCAAGGCUACGAUCUGUAACCGGUCUUAGAGGACGGUCGGUCACACUGACACUGAAUAACGGGUCAGACUCCUACGGGAGGCAGCAGUCGGGAAUUUUGGGCAAUGGGCGAAAGCCUGACCCAGCAACGCCGCGUGAAGGAUGAAGUAUUUCGGUAUGUAAACUUCGAAAGAAUAGGAAGAAUUAAUGACGGUACUAUUUAUAAGGUCCGGCUAACUACGUG